Molecule: ribosomal RNA, 552 nt
Filed under: uncultured Agrobacterium sp.
Lineage: Bacteria; Pseudomonadati; Pseudomonadota; Alphaproteobacteria; Hyphomicrobiales; Rhizobiaceae
Description: partial 16S ribosomal RNA
Source: RNAcentral
UACUCCCCAGGCGGUCAACUUCACGCGUUAGCUACGUUACUAAGGAAAUGAAUCCCCAACAACUAGUUGACAUCGUUUAGGGCGUGGACUACCAGGGUAUCUAAUCCUGUUUGCUCCCCACGCUUUCGUGCAUGAGCGUCAGUGUUAUCCCAGGGGGCUGCCUUCGCCAUCGGUAUUCCUCCACAUCUCUACGCAUUUCACUGCUACACGUGGAAUUCUACCCCCCUCUGACACACUCUAGCCGUGCAGUCACCAAUGCAAUUCCCAGGUUAAGCCCGGGGAUUUCACAUCGGUCUUGCACAACCGCCUGCGCACGCUUUACGCCCAGUAAUUCCGAUUAACGCUUGGACCCUACGUAUUACCGCGGCUGCUGGCACGUAGUUAGCCGGUCCUUAUUCUUCCGGUACCGUCAUCCACACCUAAUAUUAGUAAGUGCGAUUUCUUUCCGGACAAAAGUGCUUUACAACCCGAAGGCCUUCUUCACACACGCGGCAUUGCUGGAUCAGGGUUGCCCCCAUUGUCCAAAAUUCCCCACUGCUGCCUCCCGUAGGA